RNAcentral lists this ribosomal RNA (253 nucleotides) under uncultured bacterium. Its description in RNAcentral is "partial 16S ribosomal RNA". It matches the Rfam family "Bacterial small subunit ribosomal RNA", at positions 524 to 776 of the family's 1533-position model. The record is from RNAcentral.
UACGUAGGGUGCGAGCGUUGUCCGGAAUUAUUGGGCGUAAAGAGCUUGUAGGUGGCUCGUCGCGUCGGGAGUGAAAACCCGCGGCUUAACCGCGGGCCUGCUUUCGAUACGGGCGGGCUAGAGUUCGGCAGGGGAGACUGGAAUUCCUGGUGUAGCGGUGGAAUGCGCAGAUAUCAGGAGGAACACCGGUGGCGAAGGCGGGUCUCUGGGCCGAUACUGACACUGAGGAGCGAAAGUGUGGGGAGCGAACAGG